Molecule: long non-coding RNA, 1016 nt
Filed under: Homo sapiens (human)
Lineage: Eukaryota; Metazoa; Chordata; Mammalia; Primates; Hominidae
Description: HSALNT0398656
Source: RNAcentral
UCUGGCUCUGCUCUCCACUUCGGGACUUGUUCCCACCAGGAUCCAGUGAAAAGCGAAGGAGCAAAAAGAAUCACAAAGAACAGGCAACAUGGACCAGAGGUGGGGGUGAAGGUGGAGCUGCCAUGUCAAAUGGGGGACUGUGGGUGAUCACAAACGUUUCCAUAGAGAAAGCAAUGUCAGAACAAAGACUUAGGGAUGAAACACUGCUUGUCACUUGUAGCUGAGGGGCCAGAGAGUCCUGGGCAGAGUGACAUCUCAGGUGAAGGCACUGAGACAAAAGCAACCUCAGUCCCAGAAAAAGGAAAGAGGUGUGCGUGGCUGGAGCAGAGGGAGUGAGGAGGACACAGGCAGGAGAUGACCUCAGAGAGGUCCUGGAAGUGAAGAUCCCUAGGGACGAGGUCUUGAAACAUUUUUCUCCCACACCUCAAAAGAAUUUUGGAAAUGAUGUAUUUCCUCACUCCUUUCAUGUAUACAUGCAACUUUCUCUUUACAUUGUAAGUUACAACACUCACAAAUAGUGGAAUUUAUUUCCCAUAUUUAAAAUACAUGCUGUCAGUUUCAGCUAAGCUCCCAGAAGUACACUGUCGCCCUCAUCUGAGAGGUGUAGGACUGCAAGGGAAUGUGUUUGGGGGUUCAAGAAGUCACUUAUGACUUCUUGACACAUGAAGGUGGAGAUGCCUGUUUGAUGUCCCAGCAGAGAGCUGAAGAGACAACUGGACACAGAAUUGUGGAGCUCAGGGGCGAGGCCUGCAGGGGACGUGGAGUCAUACAGGCUCCAGAUGUUUCUGUAGAUAAUUUCAAGGAACAUGGCACCUGGGAUGUGACUGCCCUCAGCAUUCCUUCUGGUGGCAGAUUCAGUUGUCACCUUGCCAACUGCUUUCACAAGAACAGUUUGCUGUUUGCUCAUACAGCCUCCAAUGGUAUACUGAGUUGACAACCCUCAUUCCUUCAGUGUCCAACAUCUCCCCCUUUAUGUUUUUGCAUUAAUUGAAUAAAGGUAAUUCCAGGCUGUGCAA